RNAcentral lists this ribosomal RNA (497 nucleotides) under uncultured bacterium. RNAcentral describes it as "partial 16S ribosomal RNA". It matches the Rfam family "Bacterial small subunit ribosomal RNA", at positions 28 to 507 of the family's 1533-position model. The record is from RNAcentral.
GACGAACGCUGGCGGCGUGCCUAAUACAUGCGAGUUGAGCGAUGAAGAUUGGUGCUUGCACCAAUUUGAAGAGCAGCGAACGGGUGAGUAACGCGUGGGGAAUCUGCCUUUGAGCGGGGGACAACAUUUGGAAACGAAUGCUAAUACCGCAUAACAACUUUAAACAUAAGUUUUAAGUUUGAAAGAUGCAAUUGCAUCACUCAAAGAUGAUCCCGCGUUGUAUUAGCUAGUUGGUGAGGUAAAGGCUCACCAAGGCUAUGAUACAUAGCCGACCUGAGAGGGUGGGCGGCCACAUUGGGACUGUGACACGGCCCAAACUCCUACGAGAGGCAGCAGUAGGGAAUCUUCGGAAAUGGACGAAAGGCUGACCGAGCAACGCCGCGUGAGUGAAGAAGGUUUUCGUAUCGUAAAACUCUGUUGGUAGAGAAGAACGUUGGUGAGAGUGGAAAGCUCAUCAAGUGACGGUAACUACCCAGAAAGGGACGGCUAACUACGUG